UGCCAAUACUCUACCAGGUGCCUGUUAGAGGGGAAGACCUGCCAAAGAGGAGUGCUUAAAUUGAGGACUAAACUCCCCUUAAAAAUGGGAUUAACACUCAUAAUUUCACCCAUCUAAAGGUGGCCCUUUACAUGUGAGGGGCAAGAAUGCCAGAUAAAUGUGAGCUGUGUCUGCUGCUGACUGGAAAAUGCAGAAAGAGGAGUGAUCUGGAUGUGUGAGAGAGGGAGCACAGGAACCUCUGGAAAGGCCACCAGAAACUCUUCCAAAAAUUGAAAGCCAUCAUCCAGGGCUCCUCCAGAUGUACCGUGUUCUGCAUGUACCAUGGAGUGGAAAGGAACAAAGUGAUUAUCUGAUUGUCCCAGGGAAAUGAAGCAGAGGUGUUAGAGCGCAGCAGUCAUAUCCACCGACAUGCCUGACAGGAAAACAUAAUGCAGACUUAAUGUAAAGAGGGAAUAAAACUGCAUCUGUUACCA
RNAcentral lists this long non-coding RNA (473 nucleotides) under Numida meleagris (helmeted guineafowl). RNAcentral's name for it is "lncRNA (ENSNMEG00000006824.1)". Lineage: Eukaryota; Metazoa; Chordata; Aves; Galliformes; Numididae. The record is from RNAcentral.